GCUUAACUGGAAAGUGGUUUAAUUUAUAUGUUGCUGUGUUGUUUUAAAUUAUAUUUGAAUCAGUUUGUUUCAGUCUAGUGAUACUGAUACAAAUGCCAGCCAAAUAACCUAGCAAAUAACUGUUUUAUUAGCUGUUGAAUACUAGCGUUUUGGCCAAGAGUAGUUGGAGUUGGAGUAGUUCUAUGAGCUCAGAGAGGUUCUGUGUUGUGGUCUGGUAUAGCUAUAUGGGAAUGGAGAUUUGGAG
Molecule: non-coding RNA, 244 nt
Organism: Pelobates cultripes (western spadefoot toad)
Lineage: Eukaryota; Metazoa; Chordata; Amphibia; Anura; Pelobatidae
Source: the annotation of a GenBank genome assembly